Molecule: ribosomal RNA, 493 nt
Filed under: uncultured bacterium
Lineage: Bacteria
Description: partial 16S ribosomal RNA
Rfam family: Bacterial small subunit ribosomal RNA
Source: RNAcentral
GACGAACGCUGGCGGCGUGCUUAACACAUGCAAGUCGAACGGAAGGGCCUGCUUUCCCUUGUGGAUUGCGGGUACUCGAGUGGCGAACGGGUGAGUAACACGUGAGUGAUCUGCCCCCAACUUGGGUAUAAGCCUGGGAAACUGGGUCUAAUUCCCGAUAGGACUGCAGGGUGGUGCCUGUGGUGGAAAACGAUUUUCUAGUGGUUGGGGAUGAGCUCGCGGCCUAUCAGCUUGUUGGUGGGGUAAUGGCCUACCAAGGCGGCGACGGGUAGCCGGCCUGAGAGGGUGGACGGCCACAUUGGGACUGAGAUACGGCCCAGACUCCUACGGGAGGCAGCAGUGGGGAAUAUUGCACAAUGGGCGGAAGCCUGAUGCAGCGACGCCGCGUGGGGGAUGACGGCCUUCGGGUUGUAAACUCCUUUCGACCGCGAGGAAGCCACCUGGUUGGAAGGGUGGUGACGGUAGUGGUAGAAGAAGCACCGGCUAACUACGU